CCGCCCCAAAACUGAGUCACGUGAUCCAAGCCCAGAGGAGGCUACGCGGGGAACAGGAAAGAGUCAUCCAAGUGCAGUGGCAAAACAAAAUCCAGGAUGCCUGGCAAUGGCCUAGGAUAGAGUGGAUGACCUUGGCAUCUUCCAUGUCUGACCAAGAUCUAAGCACUCCACAGUGCCUGCUUCUGCCAACUUCAUGGUCAUUGGAACAAAUUGUCCUCAUCUGCCCAUUCCACAGAGGGAAAUCUUCACAUGCUUGAGGUGGACAAGCCUCCUAACUCACCAACCAGUUUGAAGCCUGUCAGUUACCCUCACCCUGGUUUUGCCCGUCUGCCCAGAUGGUUUACUGGGGUGUGGCCACUGUGCAUGCUACAGCUUCUCAGAGCCUCAGGUGAGAGUUAGUUGCCAGGUGGACAUCAAAAGUAGAGGAGCAGCCCUGAAAAGGCUUGGCAAGCCCUCAUACCAGAGGUACAAGUACUCCCAAACAUCCAUACAACCCACAUGGAAGUUAAUGUCAAAGGAAGACACUAGCCUUGAGGGGGAUUGAGAAGGAUCUCUUUGCAGAAGAUAAAUUGGAGCUGAAUUUUGAAGGAAGCAAACCAAAGCUAGGAGGCAGAGAAGACAAACAAGAAGAUUCCGGGUAUGAGAACAGGUGAUGGAAAUGCAUGAAGGCUAGAGGGAGAGUAGAGUGUGUAAGGAAUAGCAGAGCCUUUUGGAUAAUGGAGUGGAUGGAGAGGAAUAAAGCAGAAGACUUGGAAGGUAGGAAGGGCUGAGGAUGUAAAGGGCUUUAAAUGCCAAACAGGAUUGUCCAUUUGAUCCUGGUGCUGAUAGGUAACCAAUGGCGUUUACCAAGUAGAGAAGUGACCAAGUCAGACCUGAACCUUAAAAUCAGUUUAGAGGAUGGACUGAAAUGGUGAUAGACUUGGGGCAGAGUGAGAAAAUCAACUAAAACGGAUAUUGCUAUAGACCUGGUGAGAAGAAAUGGUGGUGGGAGCAGUAUGACUAAAGAGAAGAGGAUGUAUACAAGAGCUGGUAAAAAUAAGAUUACCAUGGGGCAACUAGUGACUCCUUAGAUAGAGAGUCAGGCCUAGAGUCAAGAGGUCAUGGGUUCAAAUCUGACCUGAAAUACUUUUUAGCUAUAUGACCCUGGACAAGUCACUUGACCCUAAUGCCUAGCCUUUACUACUCUUCUGACUUAGAACCAAUAUUUAGUAUUGAUACUAAGACAGAAGGCAAGGUUUUUUGUUGUUGCUGUUUUUUUAAUAAAUAAGACUGGACAA
This is a long non-coding RNA of Monodelphis domestica (gray short-tailed opossum), 1277 nucleotides long. RefSeq lists it as uncharacterized. The record is from RefSeq and is a predicted model, not a curated record. Lineage: Eukaryota; Metazoa; Chordata; Mammalia; Didelphimorphia; Didelphidae.